AGAGUUUGAUCCUGGCUCAGGAUGAACGCUAGCGGCAGGCCUAACACAUGCAAGUCGAGGGGUAACAGUUCCAAGCAAUUGGAAGCUGACGACCGGCGCACGGGUGCGUAACGCGUAUGCAACCUACCUUUAACUGGGGGAUAGCCCGGAGAAAUCCGGAUUAAUACCCCAUAAUAUUCCGAAUGGGCAUCCAUUUUGAAUUAAAGCUUCGGCGGUUUUAGAUGGGCAUGCGUGGCAUUAGUUAGUUGGUGAGGUAACGGCUCACCAAGACAAUGAUGCCUAGGGGUUCUGAGAGGAUUUUCCCCCACACUGGUACUGAGACACGGACCAGACUCCUACGGGAGGCAGCAGUGAGGAAUAUUGGUCAAUGGACGCAAGUCUGAACCAGCCAUGCCGCGUGCAGGAUGACGGCCCUAUGGGUUGUAAACUGCUUUUAUAUGGGAAGAAACCUUUCUACGUGUAGAGAGCUGACGGUACCAUACGAAUAAGGACCGGCUAACUCCGUGCCAGCAGCCGCGGUAAUACGGAGGGUCCAAGCGUUAUCCGGAUUUAUUGGGUUUAAAGGGUGCGCAGGCGGAUUUGUAAGUCAGUGGUGAAAUCCCCCGGCUCAACCGGGGAACUGCCAUUGAUACUGCUAAUCUAGAGUACAGUUGAAGUAGGCGGAAUGUAGCAUGUAGCGGUGAAAUGCAUAGAGAUGCUACAGAACACCGAUUGCGAAGGCAGCUUACUAAGCUGUAACUGACGCUCAGGCACGAAAGCGUGGGGAGCAAACAGGAUUAGAUACCCUGGUAGUCCACGCCGUAAACUAUGAUUACUCGUUGUUGGCAAUAUAUCGUCAGCGACUGAACGAAAGUAUUAAGUAAUCCACCUGGGAAGUACGAUCGCAAGGUUGAAACUCAAAGGAAUUGACGAGGGCCCGCACAAGCGGUGGAGCAUGUGGUUUAAUUCGAUGAUACGCGAGGAACCUUACCUGGGCUUAAAUGUUAGACGACAGUUUCGGAAACGAAAUCUUCCUUCGGGACGUCUUACAAGGUGCUGCAUGGUUGUCGUCAGCUCGUGCCGUGAGGUGUCGGGUUAAGUCCCAUAACGAGCGCAACCCCUAUUCUUGGUUGCCAUCAGGUCAUGCUGGGGACUCUAAGAAAACUGCCUACGCAAGUAGUGAGGAAGGUGGGGAUGACGUCAAAUCAGCACGGCCCUUAUGUCCAGAGCUACACACGUGCUACAAUGGCCGGUACAGAGGGUCGCUACCCCGCGAGGGGGAGCUAAUCCCAUAAAGCUGAUCGUAGUCCGGAUUGGAGUCUGCAACUCGACUCCAUGAAGUCGGAAUCGCUAGUAAUCGUAGAUCAGAACGCUACGGUGAAUACGUUCCCGGGCCUUGUACACACC
This 1386-nucleotide ribosomal RNA is filed under the name metagenome. Its description in RNAcentral is "bacterial SSU rRNA". It matches the Rfam family "Bacterial small subunit ribosomal RNA". The record is from RNAcentral.